This 27-nucleotide non-coding RNA is filed under the name Homo sapiens (human). The record is from RNAcentral. Lineage: Eukaryota; Metazoa; Chordata; Mammalia; Primates; Hominidae.
UCCCAGAAGGAGCCACUCACUGGAGAC